RNAcentral lists this unclassified non-coding RNA (322 nucleotides) under Hevea brasiliensis (rubber tree). Lineage: Eukaryota; Viridiplantae; Streptophyta; Magnoliopsida; Malpighiales; Euphorbiaceae. The record is from RNAcentral.
CUGCAACGCCCGCAACUGCUCUUCGAGCUGGCGGUUGCGAUACUGCAAUUCCUCGUUCUGGCCGGUCAGCGUGCGAAGCUGAUUUUCCAGCCGCUCGAUGCGCAUUUCGGGAUCGAGAUCCUGCUGCGCGACCGCGCCGANNGACAGGCAGCCAAGCGGGCGCGAAUGCGAGCACCGCACAGACGAAAAUUUGAAAUCUGGAUNCUGGAUGACAUUUUGACCCGAAAAACAGUAAGGGCAUCGCUUUUCAAAGCGACCAAGAUUGAACGGUUCAGUACGCCAAAAAUAUGGCUUCCGACAGCGGCUCGUUGCCUCAGCAUGA